Molecule: ribosomal RNA, 927 nt
Filed under: Trechispora sp. TMB
Lineage: Eukaryota; Fungi; Basidiomycota; Agaricomycetes; Trechisporales; Hydnodontaceae
Description: eukaryotic LSU rRNA
Rfam family: Eukaryotic large subunit ribosomal RNA
Source: RNAcentral
GCAUAUCAAUAAGCGGAGGAAAAGAGACUAACGAGGAUUCCCCUAGUAACUGCGAGUGAAGCGGGAAAAGCUCAAAUUUGAAAUCUGGCGGUUACGCCGUCCGAGUUGUAUUCUGGAGAAGUGCCUUCCGUGCCGGACCGUGUACAAGUGCCUUGGAACAGGCCGUCAUAGAGGGUGAGAAUCCCGUCUUUGACACGGACCCCCGGUGCUCUGCGAUGCGCUCUCGAAGAGUCGAGUUGUUUGGGAAUGCAGCUCAAAACGGGUGGUAAAUUCCAUCUAAAGCUAAAUAUUGGCGAGAGACCGAUAGCGAACAAGUACCGUGAGGGAAAGAUGAAAAGCACUUUGGAAAGAGAGUAAAACAGUACGUGAAAUUGUUGAAAGGGAAACGCUUGAAGUCAGUCGCGUCUGCCGGAACUCAGCCUUGCUUCUGCUUGGUGCACUUUCCGGUCCGACGGGCCAGCAUCGGUUUCGCGAGGCGGACACUGGCGGGGGGAAGGUGGCGGCUCUGGCCGUGUUAUAGCCCUCUGUCGCGAACGUCUCGUGGGACCGAGGAAUCCGGCGCAAGCCUGGGAUGCUGGCGUAAUGGCUUUAAACGACCCGUCUUGAAACACGGACCAAGGAGUGCUACGUGCUCGCGAGUGUUUGGGUGGAAAACCCGGACGCGCAAUGAAAGUGAAAGUCGAUACCCUUUUGCCGGGGGCACCGACGCCCGAGCCUGAUGUUUUCGGAAGGCCUUGCGGUAGAGCGAGUGCGUUGCGACCCGAAAGAUGGUGAACUAUUCCUGAGGAGGGCGAAGCCAGAGGAAACUCUGGUGGAGGCUCGUAGCGGUUCUGACGUGCAAAUCGAUCGCAGGACUUGGGUAUAGGGGCGAAAGACUAAUCGAACCAUCUAGUAGCUGGUUCCUGCCGAAGUUUCCCUCAGGAUAGC